UUCCAUCAAAUACAGGUUUUGCUGGUUGGCCGCCCGUAUUUCAUAUCGUGGACGGCAUAUGCCUGCGUAUCUUACCUUAUUCUGAGAAGGAUUCACAAGGCUGCCAAAGGUGGCCGAGGUACCAAACAUCGUUGAGAACCCCGUUAACUGUACAGUUUCGGGGGGAGCUGCGAAGCCUAAACAGAUAAACAUCAGUCCAAGGUGGUGAAUGGCAGCUAGAGAUACACCCAGCAGCUACAGGAACCCAAGGAGGGGAUUGACUCCGCUUCGGAGAUUCCUGAGCUGCAUCUGGAAUGAAGCCUGAAGAGGAGGAGAGAGAAGCAGGAGGUCACUUGCCGGGAGGGACCUGAACGAGCACGGGACCCCGAAGCCACCAGGCCUCUGUGGAAGCAAGGAGUACCGAGUGUGAAAAGCUUCCUUGCUGUGCUGAGCCCUGGGGGUUCAAGAAUGAAUCAGCGACAGUCUGCAUGGUCGAUGCCAACAUCCGGGUUGACUGCUUUCAGUUGAAUUCAACAACCAAAUGCCUGUUUUGUGCAAGGCUCUUUUCCAGGCACCGAGGAAGCAGCAAGCUGGAUAAAUCCUGGAGGUUCCUCCAGCCGGUGGGACAAAAGAACCAAGUGAGAAUUGAAUGGUGUUUCUUACUGUCUUUUGGCUGAUGGAAAGUUUGAAUAUCUGAUGGAAGUUAUGAGUCUUCUCUCUCUCAANNNNNNNNNNNNNNNNNNNNAAGCACGUAUGUGCACACACACACAAGCAGUUUUGCAAUGAUUUUAGAGUAUUUGGAGAUCUCCCUCCAUCCCCCACCAAGUUUGUCCAUAGAAUGACCUUAGGGUGAGUAUUUUGGGCAUGAAAUGAAAUAGUAAUGCCUUGAAGGAAGCACAAAGCCAUAGUCACUGACUAGAAAGAGAGAUUAGAGAUAAGAUCCAGGUGGGUCAGAGGGGCCGGUGGGGUUGGUAGGAUAGGUAUGUUUUGAUAGACAGGCCUGUCUAGUUAGAGGUCAGGUAUUAGUCUCUGGGAGGCAGCAUUCCAGCAGACAGAAAAGUCUGAGAAAGGGAAGGAGGGUAGGAAGUAGGAAAACUCAAACAAUCCGACAAGCUGAGUUUGGCAGGAGGAAGGUUACAUGACGAGGAAUCAUCAGAAUCAUUAGAAACAAUCACAGAAAGGCAGAGGUCGUAUUUUGAGUGACAUUGCAAGCAAGGUGAGGAUUCUCCCGCCCCUCCUCCCCUCAGUAAAAUAUCUGUAAUUCCUUUUAUUUAGUUAUUUUUUUUAGGUAAGGG
Molecule: long non-coding RNA, 1274 nt
Filed under: Ursus americanus (American black bear)
Lineage: Eukaryota; Metazoa; Chordata; Mammalia; Carnivora; Ursidae
Description: lncRNA (ENSUAMG00000027466.1)
Source: RNAcentral